RNAcentral lists this non-coding RNA (30 nucleotides) under Rattus norvegicus (Norway rat). The record is from RNAcentral. Lineage: Eukaryota; Metazoa; Chordata; Mammalia; Rodentia; Muridae.
UUCUGGUUAUACCUUUUUGAUGCAAUGAAU